UACGGAGGGUGCAAGCGUUAUCCGGAUUCACUGGGUUUAAAGGGUGUGUAGGCGGUGCUCUAAGUCUGGUGUGAAAUCUCCCGGCUUAACUGGGAGGGUGCGCCGGAAACUGGAGUGCUUGAGUGUGGGAGAGGAAAGCGGAAUUCCUGGUGUAGCGGUGAAAUGCGUAGAUAUCAGGAGGAACACCGGUGGCGAAGGCGGUGAUCUGGGCCGACACUGACGCUGUAGAGCGAAAGCGUGGGGAGCGAACAGG
Molecule: ribosomal RNA, 253 nt
Filed under: uncultured bacterium
Lineage: Bacteria
Description: partial 16S ribosomal RNA
Rfam family: Bacterial small subunit ribosomal RNA
Source: RNAcentral